CUGGUGUCUAUAAAUGAUGAAGAGAUACUAAUGAUGCACAUGCACAGAGAAAAGACUAUGUAUGUAGCAAGAAAGUCACCAUCUACAAGCCAAGGAGAUGGGUCUUAUACCAAACUAAGCUGCAGGCACCCCAAGGAAUGGAAAUGGAGCUGCCUAGGACUUCAGAGGAGCAGACCAAGCCAGAGACACCACCCAAAGAUCUCUCGAUGCCAUCUGGAGCUGUUGAGGUGAGUUGCGAUUGAGGGCUAAGAUGAGGUCAUACGAAUGGCCGCCAGCACAGACAAGCACAUCAUUAACAGCACCAUGGACAGAGGAAAUUACUACAGCAAGAGGGGAGAGUGAGACCAUUCUCCACCCUGACCUUUUAGCACACAGCUUCUCAAGCAGAGUGAAGAAAUGCCAAUGCAAAGAAGAGACCUCUAUAAAGUGCCACCAAUUCUAAAUGGAUCUCUAGCUCCAGAGUUGGCUCCUCAGUGGUUAAACACUCAUCAAACCUGACCAUUAGGCACCAUCUGCUGUGAGAUUAUUAGACCCAGCCAU
Long non-coding RNA from Canis lupus familiaris (dog), 540 nucleotides. RefSeq lists it as uncharacterized. NCBI's taxonomy places the organism in Eukaryota, Metazoa, Chordata, Mammalia, Carnivora, Canidae. The transcript has 3 exons. The record is from RefSeq and is a predicted model, not a curated record.